Molecule: transfer RNA, 84 nt
Filed under: Amborella trichopoda
Lineage: Eukaryota; Viridiplantae; Streptophyta; Magnoliopsida; Amborellales; Amborellaceae
Rfam family: tRNA
About the family: Transfer RNA (tRNA) molecules are approximately 80 nucleotides in length. Their secondary structure includes four short double-helical elements and three loops (D, anti-codon, and T loops). Further hydrogen bonds mediate the characteristic L-shaped molecular structure. tRNAs have two regions of fundamental functional importance: the anti-codon, which is responsible for specific mRNA codon recognition, and the 3' end, to which the tRNAs corresponding amino acid is attached (by aminoacyl-tRNA synthetases). tRNAs cope with the degeneracy of the genetic code in two manners: having more than one tRNA (with a specific anti-codon) for a particular amino acid; and 'wobble' base-pairing, i.e. permitting non-standard base-pairing at the 3rd anti-codon position.
Source: Rfam by way of RNAcentral
GUGGAUGUAGCCAAGUGGAUCAAGGCAGUGGAUUGUGAAUCCACCAUGCGCAGCCCGUCGUUCGCCCAACUUCUUCUAUUUACG